RNAcentral lists this ribosomal RNA (370 nucleotides) under uncultured organism. Its description in RNAcentral is "bacterial SSU rRNA". It matches the Rfam family "Bacterial small subunit ribosomal RNA", at positions 526 to 896 of the family's 1533-position model. The record is from RNAcentral.
CGUAGGGUGCGAGCGUUAAUCGGAAUUACUGGGCGUAAAGCGUGCGCAGGCGGUUUUGUAAGACAGAUGUGAAAUCCCCGGGCUCAACCUGGGACCUGCAUUUGUGACUGCAAGGCUAGAGUACGGUAGAGGGGGAUGGAAUUCCGCGUGUAGCAGUGAAAUGCGUAGAUAUGCGGAGGAACACCGAUGGCGAAGGCAAUCCCCUGGACCUGUACUGACGCUCAUGCACGAAAGCGUGGGGAGCAAACAGGAUUAGAUACCCUGGUAGUCCACGCCCUAAACGAUGUCAACUGGUUGUUGGGUCUUUACUGACUCAGUAACGAAGUUAACGCGUGAAGUUGACCGCCUGGGGAGUACGGCCGCAAGGUUG